This 503-nucleotide ribosomal RNA is filed under the name uncultured bacterium. RNAcentral's name for it is "partial 16S ribosomal RNA". It matches the Rfam family "Bacterial small subunit ribosomal RNA", at positions 30 to 523 of the family's 1533-position model. The record is from RNAcentral.
AUUGAACGCUGGCGGCAGGCUUAACACAUGCAAGUCGAGCGGGGUGAUGGUGCUUGCACUAUCACUUAGCGGCGGACGGGUGAGUAAUGCUUAGGAAUCUGCCUAUUAGUGGGGGACAACAUCUCGAAAGGGAUGCUAAUACCGCAUACGUCCUACGGGAGAAAGCAGGGGAUCACUUGUGACCUUGCGCUAAUAGAUGAGCCUAAGUCGGAUUAGCUAGUUGGUGGGGUAAAGGCCUACCAAGGCGACGAUCUGUAGCGGGUCUGAGAGGAUGAUCCGCCCAACUGGGACUGAGACACGGCCCAGACUCCUACGGGAGGGAGCAGUGGGGAAUAUUGGACAAUGGGGGGAACCCUGAUCCAGCCAUGCCGCGUGUGUGAAGAAGGCCUUAUGGUUGUAAAGCACUUUAAGCGAGGAGGAGGCUCUUUUGGUUAAUACCCAAGAUGAGUGGACGUUACUCGCAGAAUAAGCACCGGCUAACUCUGUGCCAGCCGCCGCAGUAA